UAACUGUUCUUCAAAGUUUCUGCAAUUCAGCACUAGUCAAGAACAAUCAAUGGAGCCAACUGAUGUUGCAGUCUCUGAAGACCAACAGCUCUCUGCUGACCCUCUGCCUUUUGCAAGAAGUUAUCAGUUGGAAGCUCUGGAGACAGCAUUAAAGCAGAACACCAUUGUUUACUUAGAGACUGGUUCUGGAAAGACCUUGAUUGCAAUUAUGCUUCUUAGAAGCUAUGCUUACCUUCUUCGGAAGCCGUCUCCGUACAUAGCUGUUUUCUUGGUCCCGACCGUUGUUCUGGUGACUCAGCAAGGAGAUGCUCUGAUGUUGCAUACCGACUUAAAAGUGGGCAAAUAUUGGGGAGAAAUGGGCGUUGAUUAUUGGGAUGCUUCUACAUGGCAACAACAAGUGGAUGAUCAUGAGGUACUUGUUAUGACUCCGGCAAUACUACUUGCUGCUUUGAGGCACAGCUUUUUACAAAUAGACAUGAUAAAAGUUAUAAUAUUUGAUGAGUGCCACAAUGCCCGAGGCAAACACCCCUAUGCCAGCAUAAUGGUGGAGUUCUAUCAUCACCAGUUAACCCAUGAGAGCGCACAACUUCCAAGAAUAUUUGGGAUGACUGCUUCCCCUAUAAAGUCUAAAGGUGCUAGCACGGCACAUAGUUACUGGCAAAAGAUCCAUGACCUCGAAAAUCUUAUGAAUUCCAAG
RNAcentral lists this unclassified non-coding RNA (697 nucleotides) under Hevea brasiliensis (rubber tree). The record is from RNAcentral. Lineage: Eukaryota; Viridiplantae; Streptophyta; Magnoliopsida; Malpighiales; Euphorbiaceae.